Molecule: long non-coding RNA, 1241 nt
Organism: Hylaeus volcanicus
Lineage: Eukaryota; Metazoa; Arthropoda; Insecta; Hymenoptera; Colletidae
Exons: 3
Source: RefSeq, a predicted model, not a curated record
UCAAAAUAUCAUAUCUUAACACAGUGCGCAAUGAAUGGAAUUAAGUGAUCUAUAGAUAAAAAUUGUAUGAAAAUUAUGCUUACACGCUAUUUUGCUUAUACACUUUGUAUUUGAAACUUUGCUGGAAGUAUUGCAUAUUUAACACUAUAAUUUUUAUGUCAAUAUUGGGUUUUGUACAUUUAAAAUAUUAAUUUGGAUGUAGUUAUCUGUGUACAUAAGGCAGAAAUAAGAUAAUAACCGAGGAGAAAAUAAUUGAUUUUUCAAGGAUGAUUAAGAUGAUAAUAAAUCAGAUCAAUGAACGUGACACGGAACUCUUUUUAGUGGGAUUGUAUAUUUGAAGGUCCCAUUACUCGAGUCCUGUGAUAUGUUGUUGGUGAUCAACUGGUGUCUAAUGGUGAUUUACAAGAAAAAGCAGUUUUGCACUUUGAUCUGUAUUAAUAGCCAUUACACGCCUUGUAUUACAUAUGUGCACGCAUUAGAACCAUAGUAGUCUUUACCAGUGCGACAUGACAAUGAACUUCAAUACUGCUAUCUUUUUAGGACCAUAUAGGAUCCUUCAACAAAAGAAUUAUUGAAGCAUAAGAUGAUGUGAUGUGAUGUACGUUAGUGUAGACUAUUCCAAUUACGCAGUUAAAAUACUACGAUCUGCCAGAGAGUAUAACGGAAGGAUCUAUUAUUGAAGAAUAAGAUGAUGCGGUGUGAUCUACGUUAGUAUGAUUAGAAAUAAAUUUUCACAUAUUUAUAUUAAUCAUUAAUGCAUGCAUGGAAUGAAUAAAUGUUUGUAAUUAAUAAAGUAAUUCCAUAUGAAUUGUAUGUAUUCGUUCUUAUUGCCUCCUUUCCCUUUCAUUUCUUCUAUCAAUUAAAUAACCAUCUCAUUAUUAUAACAUUUUUUUGGAUAUAUAAACUUUAAGUAAUCAAGUAUUUAUUUAAAGAUAGAAGAAGAUAAUGAGAACUGUACCUUAUACUAUAUAAUACAGAAAAAGUGCAAAUAAGAAAUUGCAUUCUUACCAUUUGUCCAAGCAUUACAAUAGAAACUGUACAUCUUUUAUAUAUUAUGUUUAUUCUGGAUGUGUAGAACAUUAAGAAUUACUAUUAAGGGGCUAGACUAGUUUCUCGGGUAUGAAAGGAAGGUGAUUUUCCAGGGCCAAAAAAAAAGACUAAGCAGACAAAUAUUUUCAAGUUUUAAGGAUAUAUUUAGACACUUUUAACAAGUAAGUACAAAAAAUUUCACGCAAAAAUAU